This 511-nucleotide ribosomal RNA is filed under the name uncultured bacterium. Its description in RNAcentral is "bacterial SSU rRNA". It matches the Rfam family "Bacterial small subunit ribosomal RNA", at positions 30 to 526 of the family's 1533-position model. The record is from RNAcentral.
AUUGAACGCUGGCGGCAGGCCUAACACAUGCAAGUCGAGCGGCAGCGGGAAAGUAGCUUGCUACUUUUGCCGGCGAGCGGCGGACGGGUGAGUAAUGCCUGGGGAUCUGCCCAGUCGAGGGGGAUAACUACUGGAAACGGUAGCUAAUACCGCAUACGCCCUACGGGGGAAAGCAGGGGACCUUCGGGCCUUGCGCGAUUGGAUGAACCCAGGUGGGAUUAGCUAGUUGGUGAGGUAAGGGCUCACCAAGGCGACGUUCCCUAGCUGGUCUGAGAGGAUGAUCAGCCACACUGGAACUGAGACACGGUCCAGACUCCUACGGGAGGCAGCAGUGGGGAAUAUUGCACAAUGGGGGAAACCCUGAUGCAGCCAUGCCGCGUGUGUGAAGAAGGCCUUCGGGUUGUAAAGCACUUUCAGCGAGGAGGAAAGGUCAGUAGCUAAUAUCUGCUGGCUGUGACGUUACUCGCAGAAGAAGCACCGGCUAACUCCGUGCCAGCCGCCGCUGUAACAC